AAUUCUGGUGGUGAGGGCAACUGGCACAUAGUUUCUUAAAUCUCUCCCAGUAUUCAUAUAAGUUCUCUCCACUGAGUUGUCUAAUGCUUGAAAUAUCUUUUUUGAUGGU
RNAcentral lists this small nucleolar RNA (109 nucleotides) under Glycine max (soybean). RNAcentral's name for it is "Plant small nucleolar RNA R71". It matches the Rfam family "Plant small nucleolar RNA R71". Rfam says of the family: R71 is a member of the C/D box family of snoRNAs containing the C (UGAUGA) and D (CUGA) box motifs. Multiple nearly identical copies of this snoRNA have been identified in Arabidopsis, and it is thought to function as a 2'-O-ribose methylation guide for 18S ribosomal RNA. Lineage: Eukaryota; Viridiplantae; Streptophyta; Magnoliopsida; Fabales; Fabaceae. RNAcentral also lists the same sequence under 1 other name. The record is from Rfam by way of RNAcentral.